RNAcentral lists this ribosomal RNA (467 nucleotides) under uncultured bacterium. RNAcentral describes it as "partial 16S ribosomal RNA". It matches the Rfam family "Bacterial small subunit ribosomal RNA", at positions 28 to 506 of the family's 1533-position model. The record is from RNAcentral.
GAUGAACGCUGGCGGCGUGCUUAACACAUGCAAGUCGAACGGAAAGGCCCAAGCUUGCUUGGGUACUCGAGUGGCGAACGGGUGAGUAACACGUGGGUGAUCUGCCCUGCACUUCGGGAUAAGCCUGGGAAACUGGGUCUAAUACCGGAUAGGACGAUGGUUUGGAUGCCAUUGUGGAAAGUUUUUUCGGUGUGGGAUGAGCUCGCGGCCUAUCAGCUUGUUGGUGGGGUAAUGGCCUACCAAGGCGUCGACGGGUAGCCGGCCUGAGAGGGUGUACGGCCACAUUGGGACUGAGAUACGGCCCAGACUCCUACGGGAGGCAGCAGUGGGGAAUAUUGCACAAUGGGCGCAAGCCUGAUGCAGCGACGCCGCGGGGGGGAUGACGGCCUUCGGGUUGUAAACUCCUUUCGCUAGGGACGAAGCGUUUUUGUGACGGUACCUGGAGAAGAAGCACCGGCUAACUACGU